This 579-nucleotide ribosomal RNA is filed under the name uncultured bacterium. RNAcentral describes it as "bacterial SSU rRNA". It matches the Rfam family "Bacterial small subunit ribosomal RNA", at positions 338 to 916 of the family's 1533-position model. The record is from RNAcentral.
CCUACGGGAGGCAGCAGUAGGGAAUAUUGGGCAAUGGACGCAAGUCUGACCCAGCCAUGCCGCGUGCAGGAUGAAGGCGUUAUGCGUUGUAAACUGCUUUUAUACAGGAAGAAACGACUCUUGCGAGAGGCAUUGACGGUACUGUAUGAAUAAGCACCGGCUAACUCCGUGCCAGCAGCCGCGGUAAUACGGAGGGUGCAAGCGUUGUCCGGAUUUAUUGGGUUUAAAGGGUGCGCAGGUGGUUUAUUAAGUCAGUGGUGAAAGACGGUCGCUCAACGAUUGCAGUGCCAUUGAAACUGGUAGACUUGAGUAAAGUAGAGGUGGGCGGAAUUGAUAGUGUAGCGGUGAAAUGCAUAGAUAUUAUCAAGAACUCCAAUUGCGUAGGCAGCUCACUUGGCUUUUACUGACACUCAUGCACGAAAGUGUGGGUAUCAAACAGGAUUAGAUACCCUGGUAGUCCACGCCCUAAACGAUGUCAACUGGUUGUUGGGUCUUAACUGACUCAGUAACGAAGCUAACGCGUGAAGUUGACCGCCUGGGGAGUACGGCCGCAAGGUUGAAACUCAAAGGAAUUGACGG